UUUUUUCUUUCUUUUUCUUUUCUUUUCUCUUCUUUUUGUUAUCCCCUUCACUCUGUUUGGGAGGGAGGGGCAGUAGAAGAAGAGGAAGAAGAGGAAGAAGAAGAAGAUUGCAUGAUAUUCUUAUUACAACC
Molecule: non-coding RNA, 131 nt
Filed under: Paramoeba aestuarina
Lineage: Eukaryota; Discosea; Flabellinia; Dactylopodida; Paramoebidae
Source: RNAcentral